Molecule: ribosomal RNA, 560 nt
Filed under: uncultured diatom
Lineage: Eukaryota; Bacillariophyta
Description: SSU rRNA
Rfam family: Eukaryotic small subunit ribosomal RNA
Source: RNAcentral
UACAGGUCUGGCAAUUGGAAUGAGAACAAUUUAAAUCCCUUAUCGAGUAUCAAUUGGAGGGCAAGUCUGGUGCCAGCAGCCGCGGUAAUUCCAGCUCCAAUAGCGUAUAUUAAAGUUGUUGCAGUUAAAAAGCUCGUAGUUGGAUUUCUGGUGGGGGCGAUCGGUCCGGCGCUUAGCGCGAGUACUUGCAUCGUCUCCGGCCAUCCUUGGGGAGAGUUUGUCUGGCAUUAAGUUGUCGGGCAGAGGAUCCUCAUCGUUUACUGUGAAAAAAUUAGAGUGUUCAAAGCAGGCUUAUGCCGUUGAAUAUAUUAGCAUGGAAUAAUAAGAUAGGACUUUGGUACUAUUUUGUUGGUUUGCGCACCAAAGUAAUGAUUAAUAGGGACAGUUGGGGGUAUUCGUAUUCCGUUGUCAGAGGUGAAAUUCUUGGAUUUACGGAAGACGAACUACUGCGAAAGCAUUUACCAAGGAUGUUUUCAUUAAUCAAGAACGAAAGUUAGGGGAUCGAAGAUGAUCAGAUACCAUCGUAGUCUUAACCAUAAACUAUGCCGACUCGGGAUUGG